RNAcentral lists this ribosomal RNA (403 nucleotides) under Pseudomonas sp. Its description in RNAcentral is "partial 16S ribosomal RNA". It matches the Rfam family "Bacterial small subunit ribosomal RNA", at positions 355 to 775 of the family's 1533-position model. RNAcentral also lists the same sequence under 3 other names. The record is from RNAcentral. Lineage: Bacteria; Pseudomonadati; Pseudomonadota; Gammaproteobacteria; Pseudomonadales; Pseudomonadaceae.
UGGGGAAUCUUGCGCAAUGGGCGAAAGCCUGACGCAGCCAUGCCGCGUGAAUGAUGAAGGUCUUAGGAUUGUAAAAUUCUUUCACCGGGGACGAUAAUGACGGUACCCGGAGAAGAAGCCCCGGCUAACUUCGUGCCAGCAGCCGCGGUAAUACGAAGGGGGCUAGCGUUGCUCGGAAUUACUGGGCGUAAAGGGCGCGUAGGCGGACAGUUAAGUCGGGGGUGAAAGCCCGGGGCUCAACCUCGGAAUUGCCUUCGAUACUGGCUGUCUUGAGUACGGGAGAGGUGUGUGGAACUCCGAGUGUAGAGGUGAAAUUCGUAGAUAUUCGGAAGAACACCAGUGGCGAAGGCGACACACUGGCCCGUUACUGACGCUGAGGCGCGAAAGCGUGGGGAGCAAACAG